AGUGAACGCUGGCGGUAGGCCCAACACAUGCCAGUCGAACGGCAGCACAGUAAGAGCUUGCUCUUACGGGUGGCGAGUGGCGGACGGGUGAGGAAUACAUCGGAAUCUACUUUUUCGUGGGGGAUAACGUAGGGAAACUUACGCUAAUACCGCAUACGACCUACGGGUGAAAGCAGGGGAUCUUCGGACCUUGCGCGAUUGAAUGAGCCGAUGUCGGAUUAGCUAGUUGGCGGGGUAAAGGCCCACCAAGGCGACGAUCCGUAGCUGGUCUGAGAGGAUGAUCAGCCACACUGGAACUGAGACACGGACCAGACUCCUACGGGAGGCAGCAGUGGGGAAUAUUGGACAAUGGGCGCAAGCCUGAUCCAGCCAUACCGCGUGGGUGAAGAAGGCCUUCGGGUUGUAAAGCCCUUUUGUUGGGAAAGAAAAGCAGCAGGUUAAUACCCCGCUGUUCUGACGGUACCCAAAGAAUAAGCACCGGCUAACUUCGUG
This 492-nucleotide ribosomal RNA is filed under the name uncultured bacterium. RNAcentral's name for it is "partial 16S ribosomal RNA". It matches the Rfam family "Bacterial small subunit ribosomal RNA", at positions 29 to 507 of the family's 1533-position model. The record is from RNAcentral.